GCGCGGGUGGCGGAAUUGGCAGACGCACUGGAUUUAGGUUCCAGCGCCGCAAGGCAUAUGGGUUCAAGUCCCAUCCCGCGUACCA
This 85-nucleotide transfer RNA is filed under the name Lentisphaerota bacterium. RNAcentral describes it as "Lentisphaerae bacterium (anaerobic digester metagenome) tRNA-Leu". It matches the Rfam family "tRNA". Rfam says of the family: Transfer RNA (tRNA) molecules are approximately 80 nucleotides in length. Their secondary structure includes four short double-helical elements and three loops (D, anti-codon, and T loops). Lineage: Bacteria; Pseudomonadati; Lentisphaerota. RNAcentral also lists the same sequence under 1 other name. The record is from RNAcentral.